Molecule: small RNA, 83 nt
Filed under: Flavobacterium fryxellicola
Lineage: Bacteria; Pseudomonadati; Bacteroidota; Flavobacteriia; Flavobacteriales; Flavobacteriaceae
Description: Flavo-1 RNA
Rfam family: Flavo-1 RNA
Source: RNAcentral
CAAUAGCCCUGAUAGUAGUGAAAAUCCUAUUUUGUUUUUGCUGCCAAAAACAAAAUAGAUUGCAACGAAUAGCGGGAAUAGCU